Molecule: long non-coding RNA, 775 nt
Filed under: Cyanistes caeruleus (blue tit)
Lineage: Eukaryota; Metazoa; Chordata; Aves; Passeriformes; Paridae
Description: lncRNA (ENSCCEG00000004636.1)
Source: RNAcentral
CCCCAAUCCCAAUUUUUUCCCCUCCCAAUUCCCGUUUUUCCCUCUUUUUCCCCCAGAUUUGUUUCCCGGCUGCUCCAAGAGGAAGCGAAGCCCCUCGGGCGCUCCCCAGGCCCGGAAACGACGGAAGAGGAACCAAAAAUCCCAUCCUGGAACCCCAAAAUCCCAUCCUGGAACCCCAAAAUCCCAACCUGGAACCCCAAAAUCCUGUUGUAAAACCUUAAAAAUCACAUCCAAAUUCCAAAAAAUUCCGCUCUGGAACCCCAAAAAUUCCGCUCCGGAACCCCAAAAAUUCCGCUCUGGAACCCCAAAAUUCCCGAUCCGAAACCCCAAAAUUCCGCUCCGGAACCCCGAAAAUCUCGUUAGAAAAACCCCAAAAAUCGCAUCCUAUAUAUAAGGGAUUCCGCUCUGGAACCCCGAAAUUCCCGAUCCGGAACGCCGAAAUUCCGCUCUGGAACCCCAAAAUUCCUGAUCUGGAACCCCAAAAUUCCGCUCCGGAACCCCAAAAUUUCGCUCCGGAACCCCAAAAAUUGCAUCCUAUAUAUAAAGGAUUCCUGAUCUGGAACCCCGAAAUCCCGCUCCGGAACCCCGAAAAAUCGCGUCCUAUAUAUAGGGGAUUCCGCUCCGGAACCCCGAAAUUCCCGCUCUGGAACCCCAAAAAUCCCAUUAGAAAAACCCAAAAUUCGCAUCCUAUAUAUAGGGGAUUCCGCUCUGGAACCCCAAAAUUCCUGAUCUGGAACCCCGAAAUUCCGCUCUGGAACCCCCCCAAAAAUUCCCA